CCUUAGAUAACUCCAUAUUUGUGCUAUAUGCAUAUACUGAAAAGAGUGUCCAACAGCAAGUUUGAUUGGGCGAUAAGUCUGUUAAAGUUUGACACAGAUAUUUCAAGUUGACCUCAGUGAGGCAAGAAAACUCACAGAAACGAUAGGGCAAAAGCUACCAUGGAUUGCUUUUAGUAUGAAUAAAGAUAGUGAAAGGGAAGCCCAUCGAUCCUUUUGACUUCGCUGCUUUCAAAUAGAAGGCAUAAAAAAAGCUACCAAAGGAUAAUUGACUUGCAGCAUACAAGAGUCCAUUGGAAUGCUGCUUCUUGAUCCUUGGACGUUGGAAUUUCCAUUUUCAUUAUCAUUUUGAAGCAGAAUUCCUCAAAUGUUGCAUUUUUCACUCACUCGAGGGGAACUCGAGCUGGGUUUAGACCGUCGUUAGACUUA
Molecule: non-coding RNA, 426 nt
Filed under: Soboliphyme baturini
Lineage: Eukaryota; Metazoa; Nematoda; Enoplea; Dioctophymatida; Soboliphymatidae
Description: Eukaryotic large subunit ribosomal RNA
Rfam family: Eukaryotic large subunit ribosomal RNA
Source: Rfam by way of RNAcentral